RNAcentral lists this unclassified non-coding RNA (387 nucleotides) under Eucalyptus aquilina. RNAcentral describes it as "partial external transcribed spacer". Lineage: Eukaryota; Viridiplantae; Streptophyta; Magnoliopsida; Myrtales; Myrtaceae. The record is from RNAcentral.
CCCUCACUUUCGAUCAAUUGUUGCUCCACGAGAUAAACGUUGGACGCAAGACAUGGGUUCCUGUGUUGCAUACCUAUUGCGACGGAAAUGUGUGCCUUCGAUCGUCCCUUCCAUCACGGCGUCCUCACGGAUGCUCGGUUGGACCGGAUAGUGGGGCUCGUGUUCCACGAACGUCGUCUCUCAUUCGAUCGUUCGGAUGGACCACGGGUGCCUACUCGUUCUCUCGGAUGCGGAACUCUCUUAAUGGGCGUGGGGUCAUUGGCCCUUGGUCCCUAAUCGUUAAGCGUUUAUCGCUUCACCGGAAUGACGAUCUCGCCUUGUCCUUGACCACGCGAAGCCCUCGGGCAUCGCGAUGGAUCAUGCUCGGCGGACGUCGUGAAGGAAUGC